This 253-nucleotide ribosomal RNA is filed under the name uncultured bacterium. Its description in RNAcentral is "partial 16S ribosomal RNA". It matches the Rfam family "Bacterial small subunit ribosomal RNA", at positions 524 to 776 of the family's 1533-position model. The record is from RNAcentral.
UACGUAGGGUGCAAGCGUUGUCCGGAAUUAUUGGGCGUAAAGAGCUCGUAGGCGGUUUGUCGCGUCUGCUGUGAAAUCCCGGGGCUCAACCCCGGGCCUGCAGUGGAUACGGGCUGGCUAGAGGCAGGCAGGGGAGAACGGAAUUCCUGGUGUAGCGGUGAAAUGCGCAGAUAUCGGGAGGAACACCGGUGGCGAAGGCGGUUCUCUGGGCCUGUACUGACGCUGAGGAGCGAAAGCGUGGGGAGCGAACAGG